Molecule: non-coding RNA, 495 nt
Organism: Paramuricea clavata
Lineage: Eukaryota; Metazoa; Cnidaria; Anthozoa; Malacalcyonacea; Plexauridae
Source: the annotation of a GenBank genome assembly
UACAUUUUGAUCACAAAAUCAACUAUUUUUCGGAAACAAAGGAUUGGAAUAUCAAACUACUACAACUGCCUGCAGAGGCAAUGUAAGCCUAAAUUAUUAUUGUGGCUAGCAUAGAAAGAAACGAAUAUUUAGGGAGAAAUUUGAUAUUGUUGUGUGAGCUACAGUCUGAAUCUGAAUGAAAUGCUGACAGUCGAUCGCGUAUACUGUGUUGUUUAUUUCGAUUUUCGAGGUUUAUGUCAAAUCUUAUCAGGACAGGUUUUGGAUUGUAUCAAAUUUUAUUUAAAAAAGUAUAAGUCACGAGCAAUUAAUCAAAUUUAUUUCGUGUGGGAAGUUGUCUGUCUGUGUAUGACAUGUUGAACUACAAAUACAAACAAUAUCAGAAAAUGAUGUUAUUUAUUUAUGUAAUUAAAAUAUCAUGAUUAUGAAUUAACAUUCAUUCCUAUUACUACAAUAUUACUUCGAAGACAUCGAAUUUUUCCACUAAAUAAACCAAAC